AUGACAAUCCAAUGCAUAGAACCAAAACAUUUUGGGCCUGGUUCUUUCCCCAUGGACCAAAUGGUUUGGAAGGCCUGGGCGCCACCGAAAGUGAAGUUUUUUGCUUGGCUUGCGAUUCAGGACAGAAUUUGGACUGCCGACCGGUUGGCCAAGCGAGGGUGGCCAAAUUGCGGUCCUUGUCCAUUGUGCAAGGGCGUGCAGGAAUGUGGGCCACAUCUCCUCUUCAAGUGCCGCUACUCUCUGAGGCUCUGGAGGUUGGUCAUUCAGAGAUUUGGCAUUGAUGACAUGAGCACGACCUCAUGGCACUUGAUGGACUCAGUUGAGAGCUGGUGGGUGAGUACAUGCGACGUCGGCACUACGGACAGGAAGGCCAAGGCGUCGAUUACCAUGCUCGUGUCAUGGGUAAUCUGGAACGAGAGAAACGCAAGAGUAUUUCGGCACAAGAGCGCUCCUCCAUCAAUUCUGCUUAACUCCAUUGUGGCCGAAGCAAGCCUUUGGGUCACCGCCGGGGCAAAGAAGUUAAGGUCUUUUAUUUUGCGAGAGUAA
This 546-nucleotide ribosomal RNA is filed under the name Triticum aestivum (bread wheat). Its description in RNAcentral is "partial small subunit ribosomal RNA". Lineage: Eukaryota; Viridiplantae; Streptophyta; Magnoliopsida; Poales; Poaceae. The record is from RNAcentral.